This 540-nucleotide ribosomal RNA is filed under the name uncultured bacterium. RNAcentral describes it as "bacterial SSU rRNA". It matches the Rfam family "Bacterial small subunit ribosomal RNA", at positions 355 to 909 of the family's 1533-position model. The record is from RNAcentral.
UGGGGAAUCUUGCACAAUGGGCGAAAGCCUGAUGCAGCAACGCCGCGUGCGGGAAGACAGCCCUAGGGUUGUAAACCGCUUUCAGCAGGGAAGAAACUGACGGUACCUGCAGAAGAAGAUGCGGCCAACUACGUGCCAGCAGCCGCGGUGACACGUAGGCAUCAAGCGUUAUCCGGAUUUAUUGGGCGUAAAGAGCUCGUAGGCGGUUCGGUAAGUCGGGUGUGAAAAUCCAAGGCUCAACCUUGGGACGCCACCCGAUACUGCUGUGACUCGAGUGCAGUAGGGGAGCAGGGAAUUCCUGGUGUAGCGGUGAAAUGCGCAGAUAUCAGGAGGAACACCAGUGGCGAAGGCGCUGCUCUGGGCUGUAACUGACGCUGAGGAGCGAAAGCAUGGGUAGCAAAACAGGAUUAGAUACCCUGGUAGUCCAUGCCGUAAAACGUUGGGCACUAGGUGUGGGUCUCAACCAACGAGAUCCGCGCCGUCGCUAACGCAUUAAGUGCCCGCCUGGGAGUACGGUCGCAAGAUUAAAACUCAAAUGAA